This is a long non-coding RNA of Dalotia coriaria, 565 nucleotides long. RefSeq lists it as uncharacterized. The record is from RefSeq and is a predicted model, not a curated record. The transcript has 2 exons. Lineage: Eukaryota; Metazoa; Arthropoda; Insecta; Coleoptera; Staphylinidae.
CUUGUGUUUCAUAAUACUUGUCAUUCUUUUGUUUUCUAACUUUAUGUUUUCUAUUUACCUGACAAUCUGUCUGGCUCCAGCCCCGAAUUCAGAUCCAAUCCGCAUAUUACAAAGAAAUGUUAGGGUAACCUCAGAUGUGUAGCUCCGUUUGUUUCGAUCACAGCUGGCUGACAUGUCACGUCGUGCGCCUCGUCCGCUAUCAGAUCAUUUUGUGUCGAUCAGCAUCUUUAUCGCUGCCGCCGUUCGACAGUCACUAGGAACACGCGAGAACUUGCCAUGGGAAAAAUCACACACGCACUUCACGCUCUAGUUUUCAGAGCGCUUUUCGCUCGCAUCAGCCAUUUUGUGUUUUGAUUUAUGAGAGAUGACGACAUUGUACGAAGAUGUGCGAAAUCCAGCUGGAUGUAUGCUUGGUUGUCCACAUUUGCAAAUUGUUUAAAAGUUUAAAGGAAGAAAAAUGUUUAAAAACGUGUUUAAAAUCAAUAAUUAAUCAACAAUUAUAUUAAUAUUACAUAUUUUUAAAUUUUAUGAAUGAUAUAAUAGUUUAAACUUUAAUUUAAAUGCG